RNAcentral lists this ribosomal RNA (447 nucleotides) under uncultured bacterium. RNAcentral's name for it is "bacterial SSU rRNA". It matches the Rfam family "Bacterial small subunit ribosomal RNA", at positions 29 to 524 of the family's 1533-position model. The record is from RNAcentral.
AGCGAACGCUGGCGGCAGGCCUAAACAUGCAAGUCGAACGGAUCCUUCGGGAUUAGUGGCGGACGGGUGAGUAACACGUGGAACGUGCCUUUUGGUUCGGAACAACUCAGGGAAACUUGAGCUAAUACCGAAUGUGCCCUUCGGGGAAAGAUUAUCGCCAUUAGAGCGGCCCGCGUCUGAUUAGCUUGUUGGUGAGGUAAAGGCUCACCAAGGCGACGAUCAGUAGCUGGUCUGAGAGGAUGAUCAGCCACACUGGGACUGAGACACGGCCCAGACUCCUACGGGAGGCAGCAGUUAGGAAUCUUGCGCAAUGGGGGAAACCCUGACGCAGCCAUGCAGCGUGAAUGAUGAAGGUCUUAGGAUUGUAAAAUUCUUUCAGCGGGGACGAUAAUGACGGUACCCGCAGAAGAAGCCCCGGCUAAACUUCGUGCCAGCAGCCGCGGUAAU